AACAGCUACAGGAGCAAGGAGCUGGCCUUGCUCCCCUGCUCUGAGCUCUUUGCUGGAUAAGCCCGUAGGAAGACAACAGUCCAAAGAUGUAAGGUGAAACUUCUCAGCACCCGCGCACCUCCCCGCAGAGGCUUCUGAGGACCCCUCCCCAGGGGCAUCGGGGCAGACACUCACUGCCCUCCCCCUGGGAGAGCAAAGGUUCUGGUUCUGCUCUCUGCUGGCAGGAAGCUCGGUGGAAGGAGGAGAAGGCAGAAGAAUCUGAGGAGUCGAUGAAGGAGAAAGAGAAGGAGAGAAAGAAAGAGAGGAGGGAGGAAAGGCAGGCAAUUUACCUUCCAGCGAAGAGUGGGUUCUCCAUGGAAACAAAAGUGCCUGUUUGUCUUAAGAUGCCACUAAAGAAGAAAAUUGUAAAUCACUUUCCACCCAGGAGACAGAGAUGAUUGCCUGGCUUUGACAGCUGAAUUUGGAAAACAUUCCUAUCCAUCAUCCCAAUGCCGGCUCCCACCUAGGCCAGGUGCCAUGGGGCCUAUUUUUAAAAUGGCAGGCCUCUCACACCCUAUUUUAUCUUAAACCUUUCUUUUAGACAAAUAAUAUUCUGGGAUCAUUUUAUCACUUCUUCCAUCUUCAACUGCAAAGAAAAAGAAGGGAGAAACAGAGGGAAGGACCUAACAGAGAGAUGUGGGCAAAACGCGUGUAUUUGCCGUGACACCAGGAAGAGUCUUUCAUCCAGACACAGGUGCUGGAGGUGGACAGACUUGAACCUGAAACUCAACAGCCCUUGUGUCAAGCAACAGGCCGGAGACCGCGCCUCAACCUCUGACUCUCUUAUCUGGGAAGAAGAGGUGAUUGACGCCUAAGCUCUCAUGGGAGGGACUCUCCACUUAGUUUAUACAUGUCUGGGGCUUCCCUGGUGGCUCACAUGGUAAAGAGAUCCACCUGCAAUGCAGGAGACCUGGGUUUGAUCCCUGGGUUGGGAAAAAUCCCCUGAAGAAAGGAAUGGCAACCCACUCCAGUAUCCUUGCCUGGAGAAUCCUGUGGACAGAGGAGCCUGGCAGGCCACAAUCCAUGGGGUCGCAAAGGGUCAGACACAAGUUAAUUGUAUACUCAUAAGAAACCACUCUAGGGGCUUCCCUGGUGGUCCAGUGGUGAAG
Long non-coding RNA from Bos taurus (domestic cattle), 1148 nucleotides. NCBI's taxonomy places the organism in Eukaryota, Metazoa, Chordata, Mammalia, Artiodactyla, Bovidae. The record is from Ensembl.